AUUGCCCUAGUAACGGCGAGUGAAGCGGCAACAGCUCAAAUUUGAAAUCUGGCUUCGGCCCGAGUUGUAAUUUGUAGAGGAUGCUUUUGGUGCGGUGCCUUCUGAGUUCCCUGGAACGGGACGCCACAGAGGGUGAGAGCCCCGUAUAGUCGGACACCAAGCCUCUGUAAAGCUCCUUCGACGAGUCGAGUAGUUUGGGAAUGCUGCUCAAAAUGGGAGGUAAAUGCCUUCUAAAGCUAAAUACUGGCCAGAGACCGAUAGCGCACAAGUAGAGUGAUCGAAAGAUGAAAAGCACUUUGAAAAGAGGGUUAAACAGCACGUGAAAUUGUUGAAAGGGAAGCGCUUGUGACCAGACUUGCGCCAGGUGGAUCAUCCAGCGUUCUCGCUGGUGCACUCUGCCUGGUUCAGGCCAGCAUCGGUUUUCUCAGUGGGAUAAAGGCUCUGGGAAUGUAGCUCCUCCGGGAGUGUUAUAGCCCGUUGCACAAUACCUCUGAGGGGACCGAGGUUCGCGCUCUGCAAGGAUGCUGGCGUAAUGGUCAUCAGCGGCCCGUCUUGAAACACGGACCAAGGAGUCAAGCAUUAGGGCGAGUGUUUGGGUGCAAAACCCGCACGCGUAAUGAAAGUGAACGUAGGUGAGAGCUUCGGCGCAUCAUCGACCGAUCCUGAUGUAUUCGGAUGGAUUUGAGUAAGAGCCUUACCGCUUGGACCCGAAAGAUGGUGAACUAUGCUUGUAUAGGGUGAAGCCAGAGGAAACUCUGGUGGAGGCUCGCAGCGGUUCUGACGUGCAAAUCGAUCGUCAAAUAUGAGCAU
RNAcentral lists this ribosomal RNA (810 nucleotides) under Conlarium aquaticum. Its description in RNAcentral is "partial large subunit ribosomal RNA". It matches the Rfam family "Eukaryotic large subunit ribosomal RNA", at positions 74 to 918 of the family's 3401-position model. The record is from RNAcentral. Lineage: Eukaryota; Fungi; Ascomycota; Sordariomycetes; Conlariaceae.